RNAcentral lists this unclassified non-coding RNA (259 nucleotides) under Glomeraceae sp. RNAcentral's name for it is "partial contains 5.8S ribosomal RNA and internal transcribed spacer 2". The stretch from base 1 to 71 matches the Rfam family "5.8S ribosomal RNA", at positions 84 to 154 of the family's 154-position model. Lineage: Eukaryota; Fungi; Glomeromycota; Glomeromycetes; Glomerales; Glomeraceae. The record is from RNAcentral.
GUGAAUCAUCAAAUCUUUGAACGCAAAUUGCGCUUCCUGGCAUUCCGGGGAGUAUGCCUGUUUGAGGAUCAGUAUUAAUAAAAAAUCGGCUUAUUUACAAAUUGUGACGUUCCCGGAGUUUGGGCUAUCUGAAUAUUUUUGGUUAAGAGGCUUAAAAUAAACCUUUUUUUCGCCUUUUGAAACUUACAUAAAUUUUUUUUAUUCGUCUAUUCUGAAUGCCAAAAUCUUUUUAGUUUCGAUCACAUCGUGUGUCUUCGUG